RNAcentral lists this ribosomal RNA (432 nucleotides) under uncultured bacterium. RNAcentral describes it as "bacterial SSU rRNA". It matches the Rfam family "Bacterial small subunit ribosomal RNA", at positions 354 to 777 of the family's 1533-position model. The record is from RNAcentral.
GUGGGGAAUUUUGGACAAUGGGGGCAACCCUGAUCCAGCCAUGCCGCGUGUGUGAAAGAAGGCCUUCGGGUUGUAAAGCACUUUCGGACGGAAAGAAAUCACACGGGUGAAUAUCCCGCGUGGAUGACGGUACCGUAAGAAGAAGCACCGGCUAACUACGUGCCAGCAGCCGCGGUAAUACGUAGGGUGCGAGCGUUAUUUGGAAUUACUGGGCGUAAAGAGUGCGCAGGUGGCCUCGCAAGUCGAGUGUGAAAUCCCCGGGCUCAACUCGGGAAUUGCGCUCGAAAAUACGGGGCUCGAGUGUGGCAGAGGGAGGUGGAAUUCCACGUGUAGCGGUGAAAUGCGUAGAGAUGUGGAGGAACACCAAUGGCGAAGGCAGCCUCCUGGGCCAAAACUGACGCUCAUGCGCGAAAGCGUGGGGAGCAAACAGGA